Molecule: ribosomal RNA, 426 nt
Filed under: uncultured bacterium
Lineage: Bacteria
Description: bacterial SSU rRNA
Rfam family: Bacterial small subunit ribosomal RNA
Source: RNAcentral
GACGAACGCUGGCGGCGUGCUUAACACAUGCAAGUCGAACGAGAAUCUGCGGAAAGAGGAUUCGUCCAAUUGAAGCAGAGGACAGUGGCGGACGGGUGAGUAACACGUAAGCAAUCUGCCUAUCAGAGGGGAAUAACAGUGAGAAAUCAUUGCUAAUACCGCAUAUGCUAACAGUAUCGCAUGAUACAGUUAGGAAAGGAGCAAUCCGCUGAUAGAUGAGCUUGCGCCUGAUUAGAUAGUUGGUGGGUAACGGCCCACCAAGGCGACGAUCAGUAGCCGGUCUGAGAGGAUGAACGGCCACAUUGGGACUGAGACACGGCCCAAACUCCUACGGGAGGCAGCAGUGGGGAAUCUUCCGCAAUGGCGCAAGCCUGACGGAGCAACGCCGCGUGAGUGAAGAAGGUUUCGGAUCGUAAAGCUCUGUUG